This 270-nucleotide long non-coding RNA is filed under the name Oryza sativa (Asian cultivated rice). RNAcentral's name for it is "long non-coding RNA (OSAT_LNC000440)". Lineage: Eukaryota; Viridiplantae; Streptophyta; Magnoliopsida; Poales; Poaceae. The record is from RNAcentral.
CCAUGUCGCCUUGGCGACGGGCGUCGGGUCGAACUGGUAGUACUCGCCGAGGAUGGGGCGGAUCGCCUUAGUGGCCUCCAUGGCGUGGUAGUGCGGCAUGGUGGAGAAGAGGUGGUGCGCGACGUGCGUGUCCGUGAUGUUGUGGAACACCUUGUUGAGGAUGCCGUAGUCGCGGUCCACGGUGGCCAGCGCGCCGCGGAGCCAGUCCCACUCGCUCGAGUCGUAGUGCGGCAGCGCCGGGUGGGUGUGCUGCAGGUAGGUGAUGAGCAC